CAGGUCCAGGAGGGGAUGGUGGGUACCAAGAUGGCUUGGGCAGGACCAAGCGGAGGUGAUGGGCACCCAGAUGGCUCCAGGAGAACCAGGAUGAUGUGACAGAUGCUGAGAUGUGUCCAGCAGGAGCAUGGGGAGAUGAUGGGCACCAAGAUGGGUCCAGCAGGGUCAAGCAGAGAUGAUGGGCACCAAGAUGGGUCCAGCAUUGUCAAGCAGAGAUGAUGGGCACCACAAUGAGUUGGGCAGGACCAGGAGGAGAUGAUGGGCACCAAGAUGGGUCCAGCAGGGUCAAGCAGAGAUGAUGGGCACCAAGAUGGGUCCAGCAGGAGAUGAUGGGCACCAAGAUGGGUCCAGCAGGG
Long non-coding RNA from Pezoporus flaviventris, 356 nucleotides. RefSeq lists it as uncharacterized. The record is from RefSeq and is a predicted model, not a curated record. NCBI's taxonomy places the organism in Eukaryota, Metazoa, Chordata, Aves, Psittaciformes, Psittacidae. The transcript is spliced from 3 exons.